CUGGCUCAGGAUGAACGCUAGCUACAGGCUUAACACAUGCAAGUCGAGGGGCAGCAUGAUCAAAGCUUGCUUGAUGAUGGCGACCGGCGCACGGGUGAGUAACGCGUAUCCAACCUUCCCCUUAGUAGGGCAUAGCCCGUAGAAAUGCGGAUUAAUACCCUAUGUUAUUCGUCGAGGACAUCUGAAAUGAAUUAAAGGUUUACCGCUAAGGGAUGGGGAUGCGUCCGAUUAGGCAGCAGGCGGGGUAACGGCCCACCUGGCCAACGAUCGGUAGGGGUUCUGAGAGGAAGGUCCCCCACAUUGGAACUGAGACACGGUCCAAACUCCUACGGGAGGCAGCAGUGAGGAAUAUUGGUCAAUGGGCGCGAGCCUGAACCAGCCAAGUAGCGUGCAAGGAUGACGGCUCUAUGGGUUGUAAACUGCUUUUAUGCGGGGAUAAAGUGCGGCACGUGUGCCGUUUUGUAGGUACCGCAUGAAUAAGGACCGGCUAAUUCCGUGCCAGCCGCCGC
This 509-nucleotide ribosomal RNA is filed under the name uncultured bacterium. RNAcentral's name for it is "bacterial SSU rRNA". It matches the Rfam family "Bacterial small subunit ribosomal RNA", at positions 19 to 518 of the family's 1533-position model. The record is from RNAcentral.